CCUACGGGGAGCAGCAGUGGGGAAUAUUGGACAAUGGGCGAAAGCCUGAUCCAGCCAUGCCGCGUGUGUGAAGAAGGCCUUCGGGUUGUAAAGCACUUUCAGUGGGGAAGAAAGCCUUGGGGCUAAUACCCUCGAGGAAGGACAUCACCCACAGAAGAAGCACCGGCUAACUCCGUGCCAGCAGCCGCGGUAAUACGGAGGGUGCGAGCGUUAAUCGGAAUUACUGGGCGUAAAGCGCGCGUAGGCGGUCUGAUAAGCCGGUUGUGAAAGCCCCGGGCUCAACCUGGGAACGGCAUCCGGAACUGUCAGGCUAGAGUGCAGGAGAGGAAGGUAGAAUUCCCGGUGUAGCGGUGAAAUGCGUAGAGAUCGGGAGGAAUCCCAGUGGCGAAGGCGGCCUUCUGGACUGACACUGACGCUGAGGUGCGAAAGCGUGGGUAGCAAACAGGAUUAGAUACCCGUGUAGUC
RNAcentral lists this ribosomal RNA (465 nucleotides) under Vreelandella stevensii. Its description in RNAcentral is "partial 16S ribosomal RNA". It matches the Rfam family "Bacterial small subunit ribosomal RNA", at positions 338 to 795 of the family's 1533-position model. Lineage: Bacteria; Pseudomonadati; Pseudomonadota; Gammaproteobacteria; Oceanospirillales; Halomonadaceae. The record is from RNAcentral.